RNAcentral lists this ribosomal RNA (497 nucleotides) under uncultured bacterium. Its description in RNAcentral is "partial 16S ribosomal RNA". It matches the Rfam family "Bacterial small subunit ribosomal RNA", at positions 28 to 507 of the family's 1533-position model. The record is from RNAcentral.
GAUGAACGCUGGCGGCGUGCCUAAUACAUGCAAGUCGAGCGAACAGACGAGGAGCUUGCUCCUCUGACGUUAGCGGCGGACGGGUGAGUAACACGUGGAUAACCUACCUAUAAGACUGGGAUAACUUCGGGAAACCGGAGCUAAUACCGGACAAUAUAUUGAACCGCAUGGUUCAAUAGUGAAAGACGGUUUUGCUGUCACUUAUAGAUGGAUCCGCGCCGCAUUAGCUAGUUGGUAAGGUAACGGCUUACCAAGGCGACGAUGCGUAGCCGACCUGAGAGGGUGAUCGGCCACACUGGAACUGAGACACGGUCCAGACUCCUACGGGAGGCAGCAGUAGGGAAUCUUCCGCAAUGGGCGAAAGCCUGACGGAGCAACGCCGCGUGAGUGAUGAAGGUCUUCGGAUCGUAAAACUCUGUUAUUAGGGAAGAGCAAAUGUGUAAGUAACUAUGCACGUCUUGACGGUACCUAAUCAGAAAGCCACGGCUAACUACGUG